UAGUAACGGCGAGUGAACCGGGAUGAGCUCAAAUUUAAAAUCUGGCGUCUUUCAGGCGUCCGAGUUGUAAUCUAUAGAGGCGUUUUCCGCGCCGGACCGCGUCCAAGUCUCUUGGAAUAGAGUAUCAAAGAGGGUGACAAUCCCGUACUUGACGCGACAACCGGUGCUCUGUGAUACGUUCUCAAUGAGUCGAGUUGUUUGGGAAUGCAGCUCUAAAUGGGUGGUAAAUUCCAUCUAAGGCUAAAUAUUGGCGAGAGACCGAUAGCGAACAAGUACCGUGAGGGAAAGAUGAAAAGCACUUUGGAAAGAGAGUUAAACAGCACGUGAAAUUGUUAAAAGGGAAACGAUUGAAGUCAGUCGUGUGAAAGGUAUUCAGCCGUCUCUGGCGGUGUAUUUGCCUUUCACGGGUCAACAUCAGUUUGAUCCGGUAGAAAAAGGCGGGAGGAAGGUGGCACCCUCGGGUGUGUUAUAGCCUCCUGUCAUAUGUGCCGGACCAGACUGAGGAACGCAGCUUGCCGCAAGGCCGGGGUUCGCCCACGUACAAGCUUAGGAUGUUGACAUAAUGGCUUUAAACGACCCG
RNAcentral lists this ribosomal RNA (580 nucleotides) under Vishniacozyma victoriae. RNAcentral's name for it is "partial large subunit ribosomal RNA". It matches the Rfam family "Eukaryotic large subunit ribosomal RNA", at positions 81 to 651 of the family's 3401-position model. Lineage: Eukaryota; Fungi; Basidiomycota; Tremellomycetes; Tremellales; Bulleribasidiaceae. The record is from RNAcentral.